This is a long non-coding RNA of Pseudophryne corroboree (corroboree frog), 222 nucleotides long. RefSeq lists it as uncharacterized. The transcript is spliced from 3 exons. NCBI's taxonomy places the organism in Eukaryota, Metazoa, Chordata, Amphibia, Anura, Myobatrachidae. The record is from RefSeq and is a predicted model, not a curated record.
CUGUAUUCAACACAGAAUACAAAAGUAUAUUUCAUGGAAUUUUUGCUUUCACAGGCCCUACACUGUCACAGGCGGUGGCGGAGGAGGAGGACCAGGACUCUAUGUCCAUCACCUCACUGCACCCAUUAAGCCCUACACUGGAACAGGCCACGGAGGAGGAGGAGGAUGAUGAUGAUGAUGAUGCUGCUGCAUUUAGUGACGACGAGCCAGAAUACAUUUUUG